This 253-nucleotide ribosomal RNA is filed under the name uncultured bacterium. RNAcentral describes it as "partial 16S ribosomal RNA". It matches the Rfam family "Bacterial small subunit ribosomal RNA", at positions 524 to 776 of the family's 1533-position model. The record is from RNAcentral.
UACGGAGGGUGCGAGCGUUGUUCGGAAUCACUGGGCGUAAAGGGCGUGUAGGCGGUCCGCUAAGUCUGAUGUGAAAGCCCGGGGCUCACCCCCGGAAGUGCAUUGGAAACUGGCGGACUCGAGUCCCGGAGAGGAGAGUGGAAUUCCUGGUGUAGCGGUGAAAUGCGUAGAUAUCAGGAGGAACACCGGUGGCGAAGGCGGCUCUCUGGGCCGAUACUGACGCUGAGGAGCGAAAGCGUGGGGAGCGAACAGG